UACGAAGGGGGCGAGCGUUGUUCGGAAUUACUGGGCGUAAAGGGCGCGCAGGCGGCCUUAGAAGUCAGAUGUGAAAGCCCCGGGCUCAACCUGGGAAUGGCAUUUGAUACUCUGAGGCUGGAGUACGGGAGAGGAGAGUGGAAUUCCCAGUGUAGAGGUGAAAUUCGUAGAUAUUGGGAAGAACACCGGUGGCGAAGGCGGCUCUCUGGACCGUAACUGACGCUGAAGCGCGAAAGCGUGGGGAGCAAACAGG
Molecule: ribosomal RNA, 253 nt
Filed under: uncultured bacterium
Lineage: Bacteria
Description: partial 16S ribosomal RNA
Rfam family: Bacterial small subunit ribosomal RNA
Source: RNAcentral